Molecule: ribosomal RNA, 528 nt
Filed under: Malassezia sympodialis
Lineage: Eukaryota; Fungi; Basidiomycota; Malasseziomycetes; Malasseziales; Malasseziaceae
Description: SSU rRNA
Rfam family: Eukaryotic small subunit ribosomal RNA
Source: RNAcentral
AUAGCGUAUAUUAAAGUUGUUGCAGUUAAAAAGCUCGUAGUUGGACCUUGGGCCUGGACAGGCGGUCCGCCUCACGGCGUGUACUGUCUUGCUGGGCCUUUCCUCUUGGUGAUCUGUGGUUUCGGCCGCAGGGAACCAGGACCUUUACUUUGAAAAAAUUAGAGUGUUCAAAGCAGGCUUUACGCCAGAAUAUAUUAGCAUGGAAUAAUAAAAUAGGACGUGCGGUUCUAUUUUGUUGGUUUUUGGGAUCGCCGUAAUGAUUAAUAGGGACAGUCGGGGGCAUUAGUACUCACAUGCUAGAGGUGAAAUUCUUGGAUUUUGUGAAGACUAACUUCUGCGAAAGCAUUUGCCAAGGAUGUUUUCAUUAAUCAAGAACGAAGGUUAGGGUAUCGAAAACGAUUAGAUACCGUUGUAGUCUUAACUAGUAAACUAUGCCGACUAGGGAUCGGUCGAUGUUAUUUUCUUGAACUCGAUCGGCACCCUUACGAGAAAUCAAAGUUUUUGGGUUCUGGGGGGAGUAUGGUCGCA